CAAAUUCUGUUAAACACUAUUCCUUGAAAUUCUCUAAAAAAGUAUUUAUAUGUUCCAUUAUAAGUAUCUAAUUAGCCAAAGAUAUGAAAGACAAUCAAAAAUACUUUGUUUCAUUUGAGACUCUAUACCAGAAACUGGUAAUAAAUCUGUUAAUUGAAAACAGUCAAUAUCAUUAGGGAAAGAGUUCAUCAAACUCAAAGAUUCACUGCAGUGAGAAAAACACUAAGGCUCAUAUUUCAAGUCAAGAGGAUAGUGUAGGAUUUAAACCACAUUCACUAUGAAUAACUACACAACUAAUGUGUCACUACAUAUUAACUCAUUAUUGACCGGGGGGAUUUUUGCUG
RNAcentral lists this long non-coding RNA (344 nucleotides) under Bos taurus (domestic cattle). Its description in RNAcentral is "long non-coding RNA NONBTAT022575". The record is from RNAcentral. Lineage: Eukaryota; Metazoa; Chordata; Mammalia; Artiodactyla; Bovidae.